AUUGAACGCUAGCGGCAUGCCUUACACAUGCAAGUCGAACGGCAGCACGAACUUCGGUUUGGUGGCGAGUGGCGAACGGGUGAGUAAAGCAUCGGAACGUGCCUAGUAGUGGGGGAUAGCUAUUCGAAAGAGUAGCUAAUACCGCAUACGAUCUAAGGAUGAAAGUGGGGGAUAUUCAGACCUCAUGCUAUUAGAGCGGCCGAUGUCAGAUUAGCUAGUUGGUGAGGUAAAAGCUCACCAAGGCGACGAUCUAUAGCUGGUCUGAGAGGACGACCAGCUACACUGGGACUGAGACACGGCCCAGACUCCUACGGGAGGCAGCAGUGGGGAAUUUUGGACAAUGGGCGAAAGCCUGAUCCAGCAAUGCCGCGUGUGUGAAGAAGGCCUUCGGGUUGUAAAGCACUUUUGUUCGGGAAGAAAAGGUUUGUGUUAAUACCAUAAGCUGAUGACGGUACCGAAAGAAUAAGCACCGGCUAACUACGUGCCAGCAGCCGCAGUAA
This 500-nucleotide ribosomal RNA is filed under the name uncultured bacterium. RNAcentral's name for it is "partial 16S ribosomal RNA". It matches the Rfam family "Bacterial small subunit ribosomal RNA", at positions 30 to 523 of the family's 1533-position model. The record is from RNAcentral.